Molecule: long non-coding RNA, 246 nt
Filed under: Lathyrus oleraceus (garden pea)
Lineage: Eukaryota; Viridiplantae; Streptophyta; Magnoliopsida; Fabales; Fabaceae
Description: Pisum sativum (pea) long non-coding RNA (PSAT_LNC027602)
Source: RNAcentral
GAAAAACUUGGACUUGGACCUCUCUCAUUUGAGCCCACAAAGCCAUGAAAAUCAGGUUAUAAAAGAGGGAGAUCAGACAGAAAAAGGAAGAGAAGCAAAAAUACUCUGAGGUUUCCUUGAAACAAAACCCUUGACAAAACCUGGAGAGAAACCUGACAGAGAACUCAGAGCAACCCCCAGGCAGCUCUGAAAAAUUCAAUCUGACUCACACACUUUCAUCUCACGCAAACCCUAACAUUGCCUUGC